Molecule: small nuclear RNA, 132 nt
Organism: Trifolium pratense (red clover)
Lineage: Eukaryota; Viridiplantae; Streptophyta; Magnoliopsida; Fabales; Fabaceae
Source: RefSeq, a predicted model, not a curated record
GUGUUCAUGAAAAGGAGAGAUGGUUGACAUCUCCCCUAAUACGGAUCAGAACAACUUUCGGAUUUUUCUGUUACAUACCUCGGUUAAGGUUGUGCAUCUCUUUGAGGUUGGAUCUAUAACCGAAUAUAGUUA